UUUAAAUGUAGCUAUGAGUUUUUCGGUCUAAUUUUAAUUAUUCGUCUUAUCUAAUAUUUUUAUAAUAAUUAUUAUUUUAUUAUUAAUAAAAAAUAAAGUCAUUUAUAUGUGACUUAUAUUUUUUAAAAAAAAAUUCAAAUUUUAAAUAAAACGAACAAUUAAAAUUAGACAUGUAAACUCAUGGCUAUAUUUAAA
Molecule: non-coding RNA, 195 nt
Organism: Oryza nivara
Lineage: Eukaryota; Viridiplantae; Streptophyta; Magnoliopsida; Poales; Poaceae
Source: Rfam